Paramisgurnus dabryanus is the source of this 1444-nucleotide non-coding RNA. Lineage: Eukaryota; Metazoa; Chordata; Actinopteri; Cypriniformes; Cobitidae. The record is from RefSeq and is a predicted model, not a curated record.
UAAAAUGCGGGAGUGAAUCCCCUAAAUGUUCGUUUCAUGUCUGUACGGAACAAGACCCGAAAAUGCGAUGAUUGACACAGAGAUAACCAUAGCAACGUUCUGCCGUCUCGCGUGCUUAUCACAGAUUUGACCAAAAUAAUAACAGCAUUGUGUUUUGCAAUAAACCUCCAUCUUGGCGUUGUGUAUUUUAUGCUUUUGUGAGGCUGCUUCACAGCACGGAGCGCGCGGUCUUGCAGUGUUGCCAGGUCCUCGUCUUUUUUGUACGUAAAUAUCGUUUUGGUGCUUUACCGUUUAUAGCUUUUGGCUCAUGAAGCGAUCAAGUUUUUGAUGUUAAUAAAGCGUGAAGAGGCCGGUCCCAAUAUUUUGAUCUUUGAGGUAAAGCAUUUAGAUUUAUUUCGGUUUAUUAUUGGAUUCUUCUUGUUCGCUGUUUUUUUUAGUGCAAGAUCUGGCAACACUAGUCAGCAAACGCUUGUGCCCAUAUGCUUGUGCCUCUGUCAUUUUCUGAACCGCGCAUACAGAAGACUUUUUCCGCUUCUAAGCAUUUAUUUUUUUUUCAGAAGAGAGACCUGUCCUGUUUAUGAUGAACGUUUAAACACUUGAUUAACUACUAGUUGUUCAGUUCGGUUAUGUACACUGUGCAGAGUUUCUGUAAAUGUGGUUGUCACCAUAGAUAUCAUAUAGAAGACUAGAUGCCCUAUUGGCCGCUGGGGACUGAGAAAUACGGCGGCCAUCUUAAACCGGUCGUUCUCCUAGUUUCGUUGCAUGGCAGCAGAUAAGAUGUCAGAGCACUGUGGAGCAUUUUCCUGUUCUAAUCGGCGGACGAUCGCAAAUAGAGCCCGGAUGAUUAUUUUCACAAUUACUUUUUAACAUCGCGGUACUAUUGGUUGUAUUUUGUGAAUAGAAUAUUACCAGAAAAUUGAGAAAGAGCCAGCUUAUUGAUUUUACUGUACUGAAAUCGUAGCCAGCUAACGUUCGCUAGGCUAUGUUUACUGCACCAGCCGCUGUUCACCCUGCAAGGAGAGUGGGGUGCUGUGAGCUGCGUGAUCCGCCGAGCUUUAAAAAGCUAAGAUGUCAACAGGAACAGAGGAUGUUUUCCUUCGUAGGGAGGACAUUGAGGAGACUCGGUUUGGAAUCGACAACUAUCAGUCUGACUCGUUGUCACUGGUUGUGUCUGUGUUUUUAAAGAUAAGGCUCCACCAUGUUGCCAAACUCACAUCUCUUGAACUACAGAAAGGGAGCACGGGAAAGAAGCUCUGGAAAACAGUCCUCUUUCAGGGGUGUGUGUGUGUGCGUGCGCGCGCGCGUGUGUGUGGGGGGGUUUACAAAUCAUUUUAAAUUGUUUCUUCACCAUAUUAAAAAGUCUUAUUUUAUUGCAACUAUCUGUUUCUGCAUCUUUGUCAUAUUUAUAGUGUGUGAUUUAUAAAAUAUCUUAUGUCCUACACCA